UACGGAAGGCAGCAGUGGGGAAUAUUGCACAAUGGGCGAAAGCCUGAUGCAGCUAUGCCGCGUGUAUGAAGAAGGCCUUAGGGUUGUAAAGUACUUUCAUCGGGGAGGAAAAACAAAACUAAUAAUUUUAUUUCUUGACGUUACCCGAAAAAGAAGCACCGGCUAACUCCGUGCCAGCAGCCGCGGUAAUACGGAGGGUGCUAGCGUUAAUCAGAAUUACUGGGCGUAAAGAGCACGUAGGUGGUUUUUUUAAGUCAGAUGUGAAAUCCCUGGGCUUAACCUAGGAACUGCAUUUUGAAACUGAAAUACUAGAGUAUCGUAGAGGGAGGUAGAAUUCUAGGUGUAGCGGUGAAAUGCGUAGAUAUCUGGAGGAAUACCUGUGGCGAAAAGCGGCCUCCUAAACGAAUACUGACACUGAGGUGCGAAAAGCGUGGGGAGCAAAACAGGGAUUAAAUACC
RNAcentral lists this ribosomal RNA (458 nucleotides) under uncultured bacterium. RNAcentral's name for it is "bacterial SSU rRNA". It matches the Rfam family "Bacterial small subunit ribosomal RNA", at positions 340 to 786 of the family's 1533-position model. The record is from RNAcentral.